ACCUAUCAUGUAUAUUACAGAGAGGAGCAGUUUGACUCUCUAGAGAGCAGUGAGGGCAUUAUUUAUCUUUUGGAUGGAUUGAGCUGUGCGAUCAGAGGCAUCGAGAUGGUCAGCUGGAGGAUACAUGAUGGUAUAGUGAGGAGAUUGGAGGAGGUCUGAUACAUAUCUGAUUUUAGAUGAAAUCUUAUCUUACUAAGUAGACUGAAUUCGAGAGGCUACAAGACAGUAGCUGGUAGAGAAAUC
RNAcentral lists this long non-coding RNA (243 nucleotides) under Elaeis guineensis (African oil palm). RNAcentral describes it as "long non-coding RNA (EGUI_LNC023181)". Lineage: Eukaryota; Viridiplantae; Streptophyta; Magnoliopsida; Arecales; Arecaceae. The record is from RNAcentral.